This 442-nucleotide ribosomal RNA is filed under the name uncultured bacterium. RNAcentral's name for it is "bacterial SSU rRNA". It matches the Rfam family "Bacterial small subunit ribosomal RNA", at positions 958 to 1400 of the family's 1533-position model. The record is from RNAcentral.
AACGCGAAGAACCUUACCUGGGCUCGAACGGCUCACGAACGUCCUUGGAAGCAGGGAUUUCCCGCAAGGGACGGGAGUCGAGGUGCUGCAUGGCUGUCGUCAGCUCGUGUCGUGAGAUGUUGGGUUAAGUCCCGCAACGAGCGCAACCCUUGUCCUGUGUUACCAUGCCGAAAGGCGGCACUCGCAGGAGACCGCCAGCGAUAAGCUGGAGGAAGGUGGAGAUGACGUCAAGUCCUCAUGGCCUUUAUGUCCAGGGCUACACACGUGCUACAAUGGGCGGUACAAAGCGCUGCUAAGCCGCAAGGUGGAGCCAAUCGCAAAAAGCCGCUCUCAGUUCGGAUUGCAGGCUGCAACUCGCCUGCAUGAAGCUGGAAUCGCUAGUAAUCGCGUACCAGAACGACGCGGUGAAUACGUUCCCGGGCCUGUACACACCGACGCGUAC